AAGUGUGACAAAGUUCAUCUCACGAAUGUAAAACAUUUUCUAUCGAUUCACUUUACUGAUCUAUUUUUCUUUCAAUUUUUAGUAAACCAAAAAGACAAAAGAGGCCGAACAGCUCUUCAUAAUGCUACUGAGAAUGGUAAUUUGGGCGAAGUUAAAAAGCUAAUUGCGAGUGGAUUUUAAGUUGAUUCGACAGACGAAGAACAGCGCAAACCUCUUCAUUUGGCUGCUAUGACUGGUCAUACGGACAUUGUUGAAAAGCUAAUCGAAGGAGCACCCAAUGUUGAUUUCAAAGAUAAAAAUGAUAGGACACCUCUCCAUUAUGCUGCUAUGAAGGGUCACAAGAAUGUCGUUAAAAAGCUCAUCAACAUUGGAGCUAAAGUUGAUCCCAGAGACAGCCUUAUGCGGACACCUCUUCAUUUAGCUGCUAAGAAUGGUAA
Long non-coding RNA from Sitodiplosis mosellana (orange wheat blossom midge), 437 nucleotides. RefSeq lists it as uncharacterized. The transcript is spliced from 4 exons. The record is from RefSeq and is a predicted model, not a curated record. NCBI's taxonomy places the organism in Eukaryota, Metazoa, Arthropoda, Insecta, Diptera, Cecidomyiidae.